Molecule: long non-coding RNA, 226 nt
Filed under: Elaeis guineensis (African oil palm)
Lineage: Eukaryota; Viridiplantae; Streptophyta; Magnoliopsida; Arecales; Arecaceae
Description: long non-coding RNA (EGUI_LNC004874)
Source: RNAcentral
GGGGUGUCUCUUGGGUGUAAAAGAGGGUGUCUAAUUAUGAGUGCAAGGGCUCCAAUAGUUGGUGCCUAAUGGGCUUCUUAAUGUAAGUUGGAUAACUUAAGUUAAUAGGAAUCCUAAUGCAAAUAGGACGUGUAUUAUGAGAUUGAAUAGGAUUCAAUCCUUAUACCUAUUUAAAGGGACCUCUCCUAAGAUCCCUAGAGCAUCAAAAUCAAUAGUCCCUCACACC